CUUUGCUAUAGAACACUCAGAAGGAUGUUGCCCUCAGAUUCCCUUGCAAUGUUGGCUGUGAACACACAGAAGAAGGGCCUGUUGGAAGCUUGGCAUCGCUCUCCAAGCAUCCAAACAGCUGGGAGCAGGAAGAGCCACAGCCCAGAUUAGGGCUGGCUGAGGUCUCUAAAGAGUCCUCAUCCAGUGGCUGAUGGAAGCAGAGACAGACAUCCACAGAAAUACACUGAGCUGAAAUCUGGAACCUAGUUGAAGAGAGGGAGGAAUGAAGAAUGAAGGGGUCUGUACCAGGUUGGAGAAACCCACAGAAACAGUUGGCCUGAAAAAGGGAAAGCAUGUCGACCACAGAUGCUCUUUGGGAGGCCAGUACGGGACUAAUCCAGCCCCCUGAUCAUAGAUGCCAUCGGGGAGGCCCCUGCACUCCUGGGAGCCUCCAGAGGUGGACUGGCUUUUUGCCCUGGUGUGUGUGUGGGACUUCGAGAUCCCAUCCCACUUGAAGGGAUGCACUCUGUCUCUGAACACAUGGGGAGGGUCCCAGGCCCAGUACAGGAAGAUUUGGUGGACUUGGUGGAGCCCUGGUUGGGGGCCCUACCCUGCCUGGGG
This 600-nucleotide long non-coding RNA is filed under the name Cricetulus griseus (Chinese hamster). RNAcentral's name for it is "lncRNA (ENSCGRG00015038951.1)". Lineage: Eukaryota; Metazoa; Chordata; Mammalia; Rodentia; Cricetidae. The record is from RNAcentral.